RNAcentral lists this ribosomal RNA (2902 nucleotides) under Escherichia coli UMEA 3180-1. Its description in RNAcentral is "bacterial LSU rRNA". It matches the Rfam family "Bacterial large subunit ribosomal RNA". The record is from RNAcentral. Lineage: Bacteria; Pseudomonadati; Pseudomonadota; Gammaproteobacteria; Enterobacterales; Enterobacteriaceae.
UUAAGCGACUAAGCGUACACGGUGGAUGCCCUGGCAGUCAGAGGCGAUGAAGGACGUGCUAAUCUGCGAUAAGCGUCGGUAAGGUGAUAUGAACCGUUAUAACCGGCGAUUUCCGAAUGGGGAAACCCAGUGUGUUUCGACACACUAUCAUUAACUGAAUCCAUAGGUUAAUGAGGCGAACCGGGGGAACUGAAACAUCUAAGUACCCCGAGGAAAAGAAAUCAACCGAGAUUCCCCCAGUAGCGGCGAGCGAACGGGGAGCAGCCCAGAGCCUGAAUCAGUGUGUGUGUUAGUGGAAGCGUCUGGAAAGGCGCGCGAUACAGGGUGACAGCCCCGUACACAAAAAUGCACAUGCUGUGAGCUCGAUGAGUAGGGCGGGACACGUGGUAUCCUGUCUGAAUAUGGGGGGACCAUCCUCCAAGGCUAAAUACUCCUGACUGACCGAUAGUGAACCAGUACCGUGAGGGAAAGGCGAAAAGAACCCCGGCGAGGGGAGUGAAAAAGAACCUGAAACCGUGUACGUACAAGCAGUGGGAGCACGCUUAGGCGUGUGACUGCGUACCUUUUGUAUAAUGGGUCAGCGACUUAUAUUCUGUAGCAAGGUUAACCGAAUAGGGGAGCCGAAGGGAAACCGAGUCUUAACUGGGCGUUAAGUUGCAGGGUAUAGACCCGAAACCCGGUGAUCUAGCCAUGGGCAGGUUGAAGGUUGGGUAACACUAACUGGAGGACCGAACCGACUAAUGUUGAAAAAUUAGCGGAUGACUUGUGGCUGGGGGUGAAAGGCCAAUCAAACCGGGAGAUAGCUGGUUCUCCCCGAAAGCUAUUUAGGUAGCGCCUCGUGAAUUCAUCUCCGGGGGUAGAGCACUGUUUCGGCAAGGGGGUCAUCCCGACUUACCAACCCGAUGCAAACUGCGAAUACCGGAGAAUGUUAUCACGGGAGACACACGGCGGGUGCUAACGUCCGUCGUGAAGAGGGAAACAACCCAGACCGCCAGCUAAGGUCCCAAAGUCAUGGUUAAGUGGGAAACGAUGUGGGAAGGCCCAGACAGCCAGGAUGUUGGCUUAGAAGCAGCCAUCAUUUAAAGAAAGCGUAAUAGCUCACUGGUCGAGUCGGCCUGCGCGGAAGAUGUAACGGGGCUAAACCAUGCACCGAAGCUGCGGCAGCGACGCUGAUGCGUUGUUGGGUAGGGGAGCGUUCUGUAAGCCUGCGAAGGUGUGCUGUGAGGCAUGCUGGAGGUAUCAGAAGUGCGAAUGCUGACAUAAGUAACGAUAAAGCGGGUGAAAAGCCCGCUCGCCGGAAGACCAAGGGUUCCUGUCCAACGUUAAUCGGGGCAGGGUGAGUCGACCCCUAAGGCGAGGCCGAAAGGCGUAGUCGAUGGGAAACAGGUUAAUAUUCCUGUACUUGGUGUUACUGCGAAGGGGGGACGGAGAAGGCUAUGUUGGCCGGGCGACGGUUGUCCCGGUUUAAGCGUGUAGGCUGGUUUUCCAGGCAAAUCCGGAAAAUCAAGGCUGAGGCGUGAUGACGAGGCACUACGGUGCUGAAGCAACAAAUGCCCUGCUUCCAGGAAAAGCCUCUAAGCAUCAGGUAACAUCAAAUCGUACCCCAAACCGACACAGGUGGUCAGGUAGAGAAUACCAAGGCGCUUGAGAGAACUCGGGUGAAGGAACUAGGCAAAAUGGUGCCGUAACUUCGGGAGAAGGCACGCUGAUAUGUAGGUGAGGUCACUUGCGGAUGGAGCUGAAAUCAGUCGAAGAUACCAGCUGGCUGCAACUGUUUAUUAAAAACACAGCACUGUGCAAACACGAAAGUGGACGUAUACGGUGUGACGCCUGCCCGGUGCCGGAAGGUUAAUUGAUGGGGUCAGCGCAAGCGAAGCUCUUGAUCGAAGCCCCGGUAAACGGCGGCCGUAACUAUAACGGUCCUAAGGUAGCGAAAUUCCUUGUCGGGUAAGUUCCGACCUGCACGAAUGGCGUAAUGAUGGCCAGGCUGUCUCCACCCGAGACUCAGUGAAAUUGAACUCGCUGUGAAGAUGCAGUGUACCCGCGGCAAGACGGAAAGACCCCGUGAACCUUUACUAUAGCUUGACACUGAACAUUGAGCCUUGAUGUGUAGGAUAGGUGGGAGGCUUAGAAGUGUGGACGCCAGUCUGCAUGGAGCCGACCUUGAAAUACCACCCUUUAAUGUUUGAUGUUCUAACGUUGACCCGUAAUCCGGGUUGCGGACAGUGUCUGGUGGGUAGUUUGACUGGGGCGGUCUCCUCCUAAAGAGUAACGGAGGAGCACGAAGGUUGGCUAAUCCUGGUCGGACAUCAGGAGGUUAGUGCAAUGGCAUAAGCCAGCUUGACUGCGAGCGUGACGGCGCGAGCAGGUGCGAAAGCAGGUCAUAGUGAUCCGGUGGUUCUGAAUGGAAGGGCCAUCGCUCAACGGAUAAAAGGUACUCCGGGGAUAACAGGCUGAUACCGCCCAAGAGUUCAUAUCGACGGCGGUGUUUGGCACCUCGAUGUCGGCUCAUCACAUCCUGGGGCUGAAGUAGGUCCCAAGGGUAUGGCUGUUCGCCAUUUAAAGUGGUACGCGAGCUGGGUUUAGAACGUCGUGAGACAGUUCGGUCCCUAUCUGCCGUGGGCGCUGGAGAACUGAGGGGGGCUGCUCCUAGUACGAGAGGACCGGAGUGGACGCAUCACUGGUGUUCGGGUUGUCAUGCCAAUGGCACUGCCCGGUAGCUAAAUGCGGAAGAGAUAAGUGCUGAAAGCAUCUAAGCACGAAACUUGCCCCGAGAUGAGUUCUCCCUGACUCCUUGAGAGUCCUGAAGGAACGUUGAAGACGACGACGUUGAUAGGCCGGGUGUGUAAGCGCAGCGAUGCGUUGAGCUAACCGGUACUAAUGAACCGUGAGGCUUAACCUU